UUAUAGCCCAGACAGAAGCGGCAUCCUUUUUCUUGCUUCUUUAGCAAGGAAAAGAUACAGUGGAUGGCUGGAAAUAGC
Molecule: small RNA, 78 nt
Filed under: Flavobacterium chilense
Lineage: Bacteria; Pseudomonadati; Bacteroidota; Flavobacteriia; Flavobacteriales; Flavobacteriaceae
Description: Flavo-1 RNA
Rfam family: Flavo-1 RNA
Source: RNAcentral